GACGAACGCUGGCGGCGUGCUUAACACAUGCAAGUCGAACGGAAAGGCCCUGCUUUUGUGGGGUGCUCGAGUGGCGAACGGGUGAGUAACACGUGAGUAACCUGCCCUUGACUUUGGGAUAACUUCAGGAAACUGGGGCUAAUACCGGAUAGGAGCUCCUGCUGCAUGGUGGGGGUUGGAAAGUUUCGGCGGUUGGGGAUGGACUCGCGGCUUAUCAGCUUGUUGGUGGGGUAGUGGCUUACCAAGGCUUUGACGGGUAGCCGGCCUGAGAGGGUGACCGGCCACAUGGGGACUGAGAUACGGCCCAGAGUCCUACGGGAGGCAGCAGUGGGGAAUAUUGCACAAUGGGCGGAAGCCUGAUGCAGCAACGCCGCGUGCGGGAUGACGGCCUUCGGGUUGUAAACCGCUUUCGCCUGUGACGAAGCGUGAGUGACGGUAAUGGGUAAAGAAGCACCGGCUAACUACGU
RNAcentral lists this ribosomal RNA (467 nucleotides) under uncultured bacterium. Its description in RNAcentral is "partial 16S ribosomal RNA". It matches the Rfam family "Bacterial small subunit ribosomal RNA", at positions 28 to 506 of the family's 1533-position model. The record is from RNAcentral.